RNAcentral lists this ribosomal RNA (888 nucleotides) under uncultured bacterium. RNAcentral describes it as "bacterial SSU rRNA". It matches the Rfam family "Bacterial small subunit ribosomal RNA", at positions 485 to 1373 of the family's 1533-position model. The record is from RNAcentral.
AGCAAGCACCGGCUAACUCCGUGCCAGCGGCCGCGGUAAUACGGAGGGUGCAAGCGUUACUCGGAAUCACUGGGCGUAAAGCGCGCGCAGGCGGCCAUUUAAGUUGGAUGUGAAAGCCUACGGCUCAACCGUAGAACUGCAUCCAAAACUAUUUGGCUAGAGUGUGGGAGAGGAAGAUGGAAUUAGUUGUGUAGGGGUAAAAUCCGUAGAGAUAACUAGGAAUACCAAAAGCGAAGGCAAUCUUCUGGAACACUACUGACGCUGAGGCGCGAAGGCGUGGGGAGCAAACAGGAUUAGAUACCCUGGUAGUCCACGCAGUAAACGAUGAAUGUUAGUCGUCGGGGGCCUAGUGUCUUCGGUGAUGCAGCUAACGCAUUAAACAUUCCGCCUGGGGAGUACGGUCGCAAGAUUAAAACUCAAAGGAAUAGACGGGGACCCGCACAAGUGGUGGAGCAUGUGGUUUAAUUCGAAGAUACGCGAAGAACCUUACCUAGCCUUGACAUAUUUUAGAACUCCGCAGAGAUGCAGAGGUGCCUUCGGGAGCUAAUUUACAGGUGCUGCACGGCUGUCGUCAGCUCGUGUCGUGAGAUGUUGGGUUAAGUCCCGCAACGAGCGCAACCCUCGUCACUAGUUACUAACGGUUCGGCCGAGGACUCUAGUGAGACUGCCUUCGUAAGGAGGAGGAAGGUGAGGACGACGUCAAGUCAUCAUGGCCCUUACGGCUAGGGCAACACACGUGCUACAAUGGCCAGGACAGUGAGACGCGAUACCGCGAGGUGGAGCAAAUCUAUAAACCUGGUCUCAGUUCGGAUUGUAGUCUGCAACUCGACUACAUGAAGCUGGAAUCACUAGUAAUCGUAGAUCAGCUAUGCUACGGUGAAUACGUUC